This 838-nucleotide long non-coding RNA is filed under the name Brassica napus (rape). RNAcentral describes it as "long non-coding RNA (BNAP_LNC024738)". The record is from RNAcentral. Lineage: Eukaryota; Viridiplantae; Streptophyta; Magnoliopsida; Brassicales; Brassicaceae.
UCUUGAUUAAAAGUAUAGAUAAUGCACAAGUGGCUUUAACUUAGAAAAACAGUUUCAACUUAACGCCUAAGCAUACAACAAAAUCAAGAUCUGGUUAUAGUUAAUUACUUACGUAUAUAGAAAUACAAAACACAAGGAUACGUUUUUGAGAGAGAUAGGAAUGAAGAAAAGGAGUGUGGUGAUAAUUAUUGUAGUGUUGGUGAUGGCUAACAUGGAACAAGAAGCACAAGAAUUGACUUUUUUUUAUUGCUUGAACAAGUACCAUAAACAGGAUCCGAUCCUCCUUUCUGUAAGAAAAUAUUGUUUGACUAUGCUUUUCAAUGCAUGUUCUUUAAGAGUCGACCAAGCAAACAUCUCGCUGAAAUAACAUCUCUACGCGAUACAUGCCCCCGACCACCUAAUGCUCCAUGACAAUCAUCACAGUAAUUAUUUAUUUUGUAUUUGCGUUCAUCUUUAGACCAUUAAAACAUAGUAUUUUGUUAGAAAGAUAAAACAGCAUUUUAAUGUUUCUAUCAAACGUGUUUUCUUUAUGUAUAAUUGCAACUGAUAGUUGUAAGUAUAAACUUAUAAAUGUUUUCGGUUAAAACAAUCAUACGUACUCAUGUGUUUACCUUCUAGUGUUGUGCAUAUGGAGAAGUUGACCUUGUUUAUAAAUAUGUUGACAUUGCAGGAUAGAAACCUGGUAUAGGAAUGAGAAAAGGAAGAUAAUAGAUGUUCAUGGUUAAAUAUUCUUGAUUUUGCAUGUGACAAAUGAUAGACCAAUAAAAAUUUCAAAUAUUUACUUAAUUAAAGAGUUUGAUAAUCAAUACGUAGAUUAGGGAUCCUAUUUAAUAUCUUC